UACGAAGGGGGCUAGCGUUGCUCGGAAUCACUGGGCGUAAAGCGCACGUAGGCGGCUUCUUAAGUCAGGGGUGAAAUCCUGGAGCUCAACUCCAGAACUGCCUUUGAUACUGAGGAGCUUGAGUCCGGGAGAGGUGAGUGGAACUGCGAGUGUAGAGGUGAAAUUCGUAGAUAUUCGCAAGAACACCAGUGGCGAAGGCGGCUCACUGGCCCGGUAUUGACGCUGAGGUGCGAAAGCGUGGGGAGCAAACAGG
This 253-nucleotide ribosomal RNA is filed under the name uncultured bacterium. RNAcentral's name for it is "partial 16S ribosomal RNA". It matches the Rfam family "Bacterial small subunit ribosomal RNA", at positions 524 to 776 of the family's 1533-position model. The record is from RNAcentral.